GCCAGGGUAGCUCAGUCGGUAAAGCACGAGACUCUUAGUCUCAGCAUUGUGGGCUUGAGCCCCACUUUGGGCA
Molecule: non-coding RNA, 73 nt
Organism: Podarcis lilfordi (Lilford's wall lizard)
Lineage: Eukaryota; Metazoa; Chordata; Lepidosauria; Squamata; Lacertidae
Source: the annotation of a GenBank genome assembly